GUCCACGCCGUAAACGAUGAGUGCUAGGUGCUGUUGGUAUUGACCCCCGCGGUGCCGCAGCCAACGCGUUAAGCACUCCGCCUGGGGAGUACGGCCGCAAGGCUAAAACUCAAAGGAAUUGACGGGGGCCCGCACAAGCGGUGGAGCAUGUGGUUCAAUUCGACGCAACGCGCAGAACCUUACCUGGGUUAAAUCCACUCAAAGCUGCCAGAGAUGGCGGGGUGCCCUUCGGGGAAUGAGUGAGACGGUGCUGCAUGGCUGUCGU
Molecule: ribosomal RNA, 265 nt
Filed under: uncultured bacterium
Lineage: Bacteria
Description: partial 16S ribosomal RNA
Rfam family: Bacterial small subunit ribosomal RNA
Source: RNAcentral